CUUCCAACUCUGUCCUGUUCUAUUCUAUUCUAUUCUAUAGUCUAUUCUAUUCUAUUCUAUAGUCUAUUCUAUUCUAUUCUAAAUUCUAUUCUUAUGAAAAAGAAAUUUCCUUACUGAAGUUCUAUCAAUUUUUAUGUGAACUUUGCUUUGCUCAAAAUAUUUCUAUUCUGACUUUCAAUCAAGAAACAUCAAGAUGGUAGGAGCAGCAAGGUCCAUGCAGCUUUCUUCCAGCCCUACGCAAAGCUCCUUAUUGUAAACCAGUCCUACAGGAAAUGGCAAUCUGCAUCAAAGAGGCAACGAAUGAGAAAUCCACUGAGCCAACUCAAAAAUGACAACAGAUACGUGUAUUAUUUCUUUUUGGCAUUUUUAAUCUGGCACUCUACAGUUUGGAUUGAAACUGCAGAAUAGUCAAGUGCCCAGAGACCAGCUCAAGACUUAAGAUACUUUGGGGGAUCUUGUGCAACAAAUCAAACAUCUGGAAGAUUGAGACCGGCAUAUCUACAUCCAUUGGGAAAACAGAAAAUACCAAGAAACAGUCGUACAAACUCUUUCUUCAUAUAAAUGGUAAUCAGAGCAGCUAAUUAUUUUGUCUUCUUUUUACCUCAAAGCUCUUCCCAUAUAAUAAAGCCGGAUAAAAUGCUAUUCAACUUUUCUCAAGCUGUAGAUAUGCAGCAGCAAAAAACAAAACAAAAAAAC
This is a non-coding RNA of Pseudonaja textilis, 696 nucleotides long. Lineage: Eukaryota; Metazoa; Chordata; Lepidosauria; Squamata; Elapidae. The record is from RefSeq and is a predicted model, not a curated record.